Long non-coding RNA from Setaria italica (foxtail millet), 675 nucleotides. RefSeq lists it as uncharacterized. The transcript is spliced from 2 exons. The record is from RefSeq and is a predicted model, not a curated record. NCBI's taxonomy places the organism in Eukaryota, Viridiplantae, Streptophyta, Magnoliopsida, Poales, Poaceae.
CCAAAGGACCCCAAGAAGCUAGAGACUGCAAGGCUGACAGAACAUCACAGUCAUCCUGAAGAUGUUUAGAAGUAGUACAAGAAAGACUACAAGAGCCAUAAGGGCUCCAGAAUUCGCCCGAGCAGCCAGAUUAUGAGCAGCGUCAUUUUGACAUCUUGGAUUUUUAAUGACCUGAAAGAUACUGAACAACAAGAAGGCAAUCAGAAGCCAACUGUAUGGAUGGAACCUGCAAGGCAGAAGCUAUUUUUUUGCAGCCAACAAAAGGGCUGACAGUUCUCCCAUUGCCACCGAGUUCACCCUAGUGUUUGCAAGGACUUGCAAACAGCAUGAAUGUGCAGAUGAUCUGAGAUCAAUGACCACUCCCAAACUUGCAACACGAGAAGCAUUACCUUGACCAUCCGGUGAAAGAGCUGCAUCCGUGUAAGCGACAACAGGAGGCAAUAAAGGCACAAUAGCUGAAGGGCCUGCAUGUCCUGCACAAUAGCUGAAGAGACAAUAAAGGCAAUACAUUGGUUAGUAGUAUAGUUUGGAGUACCAUUCUGUGUUGGUGCAUCCCUGUUAUCAGAAUACUGAAAGGCAUAUAAUGUAGUUGUAGCUAUGUCAGCUUGCACCUCAUGGCCUACCCUGUUCACCGACCGUCUCUUGUUAUUGAAUCUGUAACCAUUUCUUGCUCUC